This is a long non-coding RNA of Nerophis lumbriciformis (worm pipefish), 1984 nucleotides long. RefSeq lists it as uncharacterized. The record is from RefSeq and is a predicted model, not a curated record. Lineage: Eukaryota; Metazoa; Chordata; Actinopteri; Syngnathiformes; Syngnathidae.
AUUCUAAAUAAAAGCAGUUAAACAUCGCGUCGAAAUUCACGCUCGUCCGAGGAACGUUCUAAGGGAUCCUUCGUCCAAUUUGCAGGGGGAUGUGGGAAGAUUCUAAAGAGAUCUCUUUUACACGAUCACAGUUUGAUGUUUCUUUUACCGCUCUGGCCCGAUGGAUGGUCUUAACCGAGUAGACACCACACUUCCCGCCAAAACGUUCCGAAGACCAGCUUGCGGAGGAGGAGGCGGAGGAGGAGGUUUUAAACCCGCAAAAGACUCCUGCCGUUGAAGAAUUGUUCCAGGACAAAAUUGUCGAAAAAGAGGUCGAAUGUCCCUCCGUUGAAGACUUGCUUGCGGAGGCUGCUGAGGCUUUUCUUUCGCCGGAGAGUCCACAGGAGACCGCCGCGAAGUCGUUGAAGGCUCGCUAGUUGCGGAUGUGAAGGCUUUUCUUCCAUCAAAGAUUCCGGAUAACGAAGGCUUGCUCGAGGACAACAGCAUCGAAAAGAUGAUGUUGUACAUGCUGUAAGUUCUUUUUGCAUUCUGGACGAUGUUACCAGUCUGUCAUGGGAAUAGACUUUCCUCCAUGCGGCCCCUGAGCUAAAAGGAGUUUGACACCCCUGAUUUACAGUAAUGCAACGUAAAAACGACAACGGUAAAAAACUGGCAGCUCAGUCACCAGAAUUUUAACAUAAAAACAACAGUGAUACAGACUUUAAAUUUAAAGUAAUUUGGUGUAAAAAAAACACCAUAAGCAUUACAGUAAAAUUAUGUCUGCCAAUUUUUUUAAGUAUAAUCUACAGAUUUGUUUUUUUAGUGCAGUAAAAAAAAGUCUGUAGAUUUUCAGUAAAAUACUGACAGCUCAUUUGCCAGAAUUUUACUGUAAAAGUAACAGGAGCAUCGUUUUUUUUCAUUUACAGUAAUGCACUGUAAAAACAAAAACUGUAGAUUUUACAGAAAAAAACUGGCAGGUCAGUCAUCAGAAUUUUGCCGCAAAAAUAACAGUGAUACCGGUUUUCAAUGUACAGUAAUUUGGUGUAAAAACAUUGUAAAUUAGUGAAAUCCUGGUGACUAAGCUGCUAAAGAUUUAUGAUUUAGCCCAAAAAAAGUCUGCGGGCUAUAGAGCGUUUUCUAUUCGGGCUCCAGUACUCUGGAAUGCCCUCCCAGUAACAGUUAGAGAUGCUACCUCAGUAGAAGCAUUUAAGUCCCAUCUUAAAACUCAUUUGUAUACUCUAGCCUUUAAAUAGACUCCCCUUUUAGACCAGUUGAUCUGCCGUCUCUUUUCUGCUUUGCCCCCCUCUCCACGAAGGCACAGAUUAGGUGACCACAGAUGAGCGCGAGCUGUUCAAAGUCGAGACCCGAGGUGGACCACUCAUCUGUGCAUCAGUUGGGGACGUCUCUGCGCUGCUGACUUGCCUCCACCUCAAGAUGAUCUCCUGGUAGCCCCACAUUGGACUGGACUCUCACACUAUUAACUAGAUCCGCUCGACGCCCAUUGCACCGGUCGCACAGGGGUGGGGGGUCCCCACAUCUGCGGUCCCCUCCAAGGUUUCUCAUUGUAGCCCCUUGGGUUGAGUUUUUCAUUGCCCUGAUGUGGGAUCUGAGUCGAGGAUGUCGUUGUGGCUUGUGCAGCCCUUUGAGACACUCGUGAUUUAGGGCUAUAUAAGUAAACUUUGAUUGAUUGAUUGAUUGAUUUUUACUUUACUUUAAUAUUACUGUAUUAAAAUAAAUAGAUAUAAUAUUUAGUUUUUUUGGAGGUGGGAGGAAGCCGGAGUACCCGGAGGGAACCCACGCAGUCACGGGGAGAACAUGCCAACUCCACACAGAAAGAUCCCGAGCCCGGGAUUGAACUCAGGACUACUCACCCCACCUUCCGCCCGAUUGUAGCUGAGAUAGGCUCCAGCGCCCCCCGCGUUCCCAAAGGGAAUAAGCGGCAGAAAAUGGAUGGAUGGAUGGAUGGAUUUAGUGUUUUACAGUGUAGUGACAACCUUACCGUGGA